RNAcentral lists this ribosomal RNA (440 nucleotides) under uncultured bacterium. RNAcentral's name for it is "partial 16S ribosomal RNA". It matches the Rfam family "Bacterial small subunit ribosomal RNA", at positions 338 to 795 of the family's 1533-position model. The record is from RNAcentral.
CCUACGGGUGGCAGCAGUGGGGAAUAUUGCACAAUGGGGGAAACCCUGAUGCAGCGACGCCGCGUGAGUGAAGAAGUAUCUCGGUACGUAAAGCUCUAUCAGCAGGAAAGCAAAUGACGGUACCUGACUAAGAAGCCCCGGCUAAAUACGUGCCAGGAGCCGCGGUAAUACGUAGGGGGCACGCGUGAUCCGGAUUUCCUGGGGGUAAAGGGGUCGUAGACGGCGCGGCAAGUCCGGAGGUAAAGGCCAUGGCUUAACCAUGGUACUGCUCGGGAAACUGUAGAGCUUGAGUGCGGGAGGGGCAGGCGGAAUGCCUAGUGUAGCGGUGAAAUGCGUAGAUAUUAGGAGGAACACCGGCGGCGAAGGCGGCCUGCUGGACCGUAACUGACGUUGAGGCUCGAAAGCGUGGGGAGCAAACAGGAUUAGAUACCCUUGUAGUC